AGGACGAACGCUGGCGGCGUGCUUAACACAUGCAAGUCGAGCGGAAAGGCCCUUCGGGGUACUCGAGCGGCGAACGGGUGAGUAACACGUGAGCAACCUGCCCUUAGCUCUGGGAUAGCUCCGGGAAACCGGAAUUAAUACCGGAUAUGACCUAGGCCGACAUCGGCCGUGGUGGAAAGUUUUUCGGCUAGGGAUGGACUCGCGGCCUAUCAGCUAGUUGGUGGGGUAAUGGCCUACCAAGGCGACGACGGGUAGCCGGCCUGAGAGGGCGACCGGCCACACUGGGACUGAGACACGGCCCAGACUCCUACGGGAGGCAGCAGUGGGGAAUCUUGCGCAAUGGGCGAAAGCCUGACGCAGCGACGCCGCGUGGGGGAUGAAGGCCUUCGGGUUGUAACCCCUUUCAGCAGGGACGAAGCGAAGUGACGGUACCUGCAGAAGAAGCGCCGGCUAACUACGUGCCAGCAGCCGC
RNAcentral lists this ribosomal RNA (472 nucleotides) under uncultured bacterium. Its description in RNAcentral is "SSU rRNA". It matches the Rfam family "Bacterial small subunit ribosomal RNA", at positions 26 to 518 of the family's 1533-position model. The record is from RNAcentral.